AACGCGAAGAACCUUACCAAGGCUUGACAUGCAAUUGCACCACCCGUAAUGGGGUGUCCCUUCGGGGCGGUUGCACAGGUGCUGCAUGGCUGUCGUCAGCUCGUGUCGUGAGAUGUUGGGUUCAGUCCCGCAACGAGCGCAACCCCUGCCGCUAGUUAGAAUGUCUAGCGGGACCGCCGCGAUCAACGCGGAGGAAGGCGGGGAUGACGUCAAGUCAGCACGGCCCUUACGCCUUGGGCUACACACACGCUACAAUGGUCGGUACAACGGGCUGCCAACCCGCGAGGGGGAGCCAAUCCCAACAAAACCGGCCUCAGUUCAGAUUGUAGGCUGAAACCCGCCUGCAUGAAGGAGGAGUUGCUAGUAACCGUGGGUCAGCACACCACGGUGAAUACGUUCCCGGGCCUUGUACACACCGUAGAGAC
Molecule: ribosomal RNA, 425 nt
Filed under: uncultured bacterium
Lineage: Bacteria
Description: bacterial SSU rRNA
Rfam family: Bacterial small subunit ribosomal RNA
Source: RNAcentral